This 795-nucleotide ribosomal RNA is filed under the name Triticum aestivum (bread wheat). RNAcentral's name for it is "partial small subunit ribosomal RNA". The record is from RNAcentral. Lineage: Eukaryota; Viridiplantae; Streptophyta; Magnoliopsida; Poales; Poaceae.
AUGGGUUUUCAUGAUAUUCACUGCUUCAACUUGGCGUUGCUCACUAAAUAGGCGGGGUGCCUUCUGGAUAACCCCGAUUCUUUGUGUGCUUCUAUUCUAAAGGCAAAGUACUACCCUGAUGGUGACUUGAUGAGUGCUGCAAAGAAAAGGAUCUUUUUUACAUGGCUGAGCAUUAUGGCGGGCAUUAUUACCCUGAAACGAGGCUAUAUCUGGCGAGUGAGGAAUGGACAAAAAAUAAAUAUUUGAAAAGAUGCUUGGAUCCCAAACUGUGCUAAUAGAAUAAUUGUAACACCGAGGNNNNNNNNNNNNNNNNNNNNNGUAGAUGAUCUCAUUGAUCCUAUCUCCAAUAACUGGGAUGAAGAACUCAUUAGACAAACUAUGUGGCCCAUCGAUAUACAACGGAUUCUUUCAGUUCCACUCCCGCAACAUGAUAUGCCAGAUUUUAUUGCUUGGAGCUAUACAAAAAAUGGCAUGUUCUCGGUUCGGUCAGCAUAUUCCAUCGAGUGGGAAAACCAGUAUGGUAAUAAAUUAAAAUACUCCAAUGAAAUGGGCCGAGCCACAGUUAACCCUAUUUGGAGUAAAAUAUGGAAAUUAUCUUGCCCGGCAAAAGUGAAAUUUUUAUGGCGUACGCUCCAUGAAACUCUCCCAUGCCGAGUUACGCUUGCUAAUAGACAUAUCAAAGUUUCGCCCACUUUGCCCACUUGCUCUGAGGGCUUAGAAGAUACAACCCAUAUGUUUUUCCGUUGUAGGAAAGCAAAGGACGUUUGGAAAAGGCUGGGAAUAAACGAUAUUAUC